GACGAACGCUGGCGGCGUGCUUAACACAUGCAAGUCGAACGGAAAGGCCCUGCUUUUGUGGGGUGCUCGAGUGGCGAACGGGUGAGUAACACGUGAGUAACCUGCCCUUGACUUUGGGAUAACUUCAGGAAACUGGGGCUAAUACCGGAUAGGAGCUCCUGCUGCAUGGUGGGGGUUGGAAAGUUUCGGCGGUUGGGGAUGGACUCGCGGCUUAUCAGCUUGUUGGUGGGGUAGUGGCUUACCAAGGCUUUGACGGGUAGCCGGCCUGAGAGGGUGACCGGCCACAUUGGGACUGAGGUACGGCCCAGGCUCCUACGGGAGGCAGCAGUGGGGAAUAUUGCACAAUGAGCGGAAGCCUGGUGCAGCAACGCCGCGUGCGGGAUGACGGCCUUCGGGUUGUAAACCGCUUUCGCCUGUGACGAAGCGUGAGUGACGGUAAUGGGUAAAGAAGCACCGGCUAACUACGUG
This 468-nucleotide ribosomal RNA is filed under the name uncultured bacterium. RNAcentral describes it as "partial 16S ribosomal RNA". It matches the Rfam family "Bacterial small subunit ribosomal RNA", at positions 28 to 507 of the family's 1533-position model. The record is from RNAcentral.